RNAcentral lists this ribosomal RNA (468 nucleotides) under uncultured bacterium. Its description in RNAcentral is "partial 16S ribosomal RNA". It matches the Rfam family "Bacterial small subunit ribosomal RNA", at positions 28 to 507 of the family's 1533-position model. The record is from RNAcentral.
GACGAACGCUGGCGGCGUGCUUAACACAUGCAAGUCGAACGGAAAGGCCCUGCUUUUGUGGGGUGCUCGAGUGGCGAACGGGUGAGUAACACGUGAGUAACCUGCCCUUGACUUUGGGAUAACUUCAGGAAACUGGGGCUAAUACCGGAUAGGAGCUCCUGCUGCAUGGUGGGGGUUGGAAAGUUUCGGCGGUUGGGGAUGGACUCGCGGCUUAUCAGCUUGUUGGUGGGGUAGUGGCUUACCAAGGCUUUGACGGGUAGCCGGCCUGAGAGGGUGACCGGGCACAAUGGGACUGAGAUACGGCCCAGACUCCUACGUGAGGCAGCAGUGGGGAAUAUUGCACAAUGGGCGGAAGCCUGAUGCAGCAACGCCGCGUGCGGGAUGACGGCCUUCGGGUUGUAAACCGCUUUCGCCUGUGACGAAGCGUGAGUGACGGUAAUGGGUAAAGAAGCACCGGCUAACUACGUG